CCUACGGGAGGCAGCAGUCGGGAAUUUUGCGCAAUGGGGGAAACCCUGACGCAGCAAUACCGCGUGCGGGAUGAAGGCCUUCGGGUCGUAAACCGCUUUUCUCGGGGACGAUAAUGACGGUACCCGUGGAAUAAGCCACGGCUAACUACGUGCCAGCAGCCGCGGUAAUACGUAGGUGGCAAGCGUUGUCCGGAUUUACUGGGCGUAAAGCGCGCGCAGGCGGUGAACGAAGUCGAGAGUGAAAGCCCUGGGCUCAACUCAGGAACAGCUCUCGAAACCAGUUCACUUGAAGGCGGAAGAGGGAAGUGGAAUUCCGAGUGUAGUGGUGGAAUGCGUAGAUAUUCGGAAGAACACCAGAGGCGAAGGCGACUUCCUGGUCCGAUCUUGACGCUGAGGCGCGAAAGCUAGGGGAGCAAACGGGAUUAGAUACCCCAGUAGUC
RNAcentral lists this ribosomal RNA (440 nucleotides) under uncultured bacterium. RNAcentral's name for it is "bacterial SSU rRNA". It matches the Rfam family "Bacterial small subunit ribosomal RNA", at positions 338 to 795 of the family's 1533-position model. The record is from RNAcentral.